Molecule: unclassified non-coding RNA, 228 nt
Filed under: Ascomycota sp.
Lineage: Eukaryota; Fungi; Ascomycota
Description: partial contains small subunit ribosomal RNA, internal transcribed spacer 1, and 5.8S ribosomal RNA
Rfam family: Eukaryotic small subunit ribosomal RNA (bases 1-47)
Source: RNAcentral
AAAGUCGUAACAAGGUUUCCGUAGGUGAACCUGCGGAAGGAUCAUUACCUUUCAGUAUGGAGUUUAUAGUCCGCUAUAGCUCCUGUCUGUAUCCAUGUCUUUUGCGUACUACAUGUUUCCUCGGCGGGUCUGACCCGCCGAUUGGACAACUUUAAACUCUUUGCAAUUGCAAUCAGCGUCUGAAAAAAAUAAUAGUUACAACUUUCAACAACGGAUCUCUUGGUUCUG